UACAGAGGUCCCGAGCGUUGUUCGGAUUUAUUGGGCGUAAAGGGCGCGUAGGCGGCCUCUUAAGUCGAACGUGAAAUCCCCGGGCUCAACCCGGGAACUGCGUCCGAUACUGGGGGGCUUGAAUCCGGGAGAGGGAUGUGGAAUUCCAGGUGUAGCGGUGAAAUGCGUAGAUAUCUGGAGGAACACCGGUGGCGAAGGCGGCAUCCUGGACCGGUAUUGACGCUGAGGCGCGAAAGCCAGGGGAGCAAACGGG
RNAcentral lists this ribosomal RNA (253 nucleotides) under uncultured bacterium. RNAcentral describes it as "partial 16S ribosomal RNA". It matches the Rfam family "Bacterial small subunit ribosomal RNA", at positions 524 to 776 of the family's 1533-position model. The record is from RNAcentral.